Molecule: ribosomal RNA, 573 nt
Filed under: fungal sp. ARIZ L111
Lineage: Eukaryota; Fungi
Description: eukaryotic LSU rRNA
Rfam family: 5.8S ribosomal RNA (bases 199-352)
Source: RNAcentral
UGGAAGUAAAAGUCGUAACAAGGUCUCCGUUGGUGAACCAGCGGAGGGAUCAUUAUAGAGUUUUCUAAACUCCCAACCCAUGUGAACUUACCUUUUGUUGCCUCGGCAGAAGUUAUAGGUCUUCUUAUAGCUGCUGCCGGUGGACCAUUAAACUCUUGUUAUUUUAUGUAAUCUGAGCGUCUUAUUUUAAUAAGUCAAAACUUUCAACAACGGAUCUCUUGGUUCUGGCAUCGAUGAAGAACGCAGCGAAAUGCGAUAAGUAAUGUGAAUUGCAGAAUUCAGUGAAUCAUCGAAUCUUUGAACGCACAUUGCGCCCAUUAGUAUUCUAGUGGGCAUGCCUGUUCGAGCGUCAUUUCAACCCUUAAGCCUAGCUUAGUGUUGGGAAUCUACUUCUCUUAGGAGUUGUAGUUCCUGAAAUACAACGGCGGAUUUGUAGUAUCCUCUGAGCGUAGUAAUUUUUUUCUCGCUUUUGUUAGGUGCUAUAACUCCCAGCCGCUAAACCCCCAAUUUUUUGUGGUUGACCUCGGAUCAGGUAGGAAUACCCGCUGAACUUAAGCAUAUCAAUAAGCGGAG